GCGGUGGAUCAUGUUGUUUAAUUCGAUGAUACGCGAAGAACCUUACCAGGUCUUGACAUCCCCCGCGAUGCUUUAGAGAUAAAGCGGAGGUAUUCGGGGAGACAGGUGGUGCAUGGUUGUCGUCAGCUCGUGUCGUGAGAUGUUGGGUUAAGUCCCGCAACGAGCGCAACCCCUAUUGCUAGUUACCAUCAUUAAGUUGGGGACUCUAGCGAGACUGCCAGUGAUAAACUGGAGGAAGGUGGGGGUGACGUCAAAUCAUCAUGCCCCUUAUGACCUGGGCUACAAACGUGAUACAAUGGCUGGAACAAAGGGAUGCGAAGCAGUGAUGUGGAGCGAAACCCAUAAAAACAGUCUCAGUUCGGAUUGAAGUCUGCAACUCGACUUCAUGAAGUCGGAAUCGCUAGUAAUCGCGGAUCAGAACGCCGCGGUGAAUACGUUCUCGGGGUUU
This 448-nucleotide ribosomal RNA is filed under the name uncultured Acholeplasma sp. RNAcentral describes it as "bacterial SSU rRNA". It matches the Rfam family "Bacterial small subunit ribosomal RNA", at positions 929 to 1382 of the family's 1533-position model. The record is from RNAcentral. Lineage: Bacteria; Bacillati; Mycoplasmatota; Mollicutes; Acholeplasmatales; Acholeplasmataceae.